GAUGAAGAACGUAGCGAAAUGCGAUAAGUAAUGUGAACUGCAGAAUUCAGUGAAUCAUCGAAUCUUUGAACGCAUCUUGCGCUCCUUGGUAUUCUGAGGAGCAUGCCUGUUUGAGUGUCAUUAAAUUCUCAACUACACUGACUUUGAAUUGGUGUGGCUUGGAUUUGGGGGGAAAAUUGUUGUGGGCUUUUUGUAUAGUCUGCUCCCCUGAAAUUGAUUAGCGGUACCUUUGUGGAACUGUCUACAGGUGUGAUAAUUAUCUACAUCUUAGACAUCUGCUGGAAUGCUGCUUUCUAAACCUUACUUGUAUUGACAAUCUUGACCUCAAAUCAGGUAGGACUACCCGCUGAACUUAAGCAUAUCAAUAAGCGGAGGA
Molecule: unclassified non-coding RNA, 376 nt
Filed under: soil metagenome
Description: partial contains 5.8S ribosomal RNA, internal transcribed spacer 2, and large subunit ribosomal RNA
Rfam family: 5.8S ribosomal RNA (bases 1-120)
Source: RNAcentral